Molecule: ribosomal RNA, 402 nt
Filed under: uncultured bacterium
Lineage: Bacteria
Also listed under: 2 other names
Description: bacterial SSU rRNA
Rfam family: Bacterial small subunit ribosomal RNA
Source: RNAcentral
UGGGGAAUAUUGGACAAUGGGCGCAAGCCUGAUCCAGCCAUGCCGCGUGAGUGAUGAAGGCCUUAGGGUUGUAAAGCUCUUUUGUCCGGGAAGAUAAUGACUGUACCGGAAGAAUAAGCCCCGGCUAACUUCGUGCCAGCAGCCGCGGUAAUACGAAGGGGGCUAGCGUUGCUCGGAAUCACUGGGCGUAAAGGGCGCGUAGGCGGACUCUUAAGUCGGGGGUGAAAGCCCAGGGCUCAACCCUGGAAUUGCCUUCGAUACUGGGAGUCUUGAGUUCGGAAGAGGUUGGUGGAACUGCGAGUGUAGAGGUGAAAUUCGUAGAUAUUCGCAAGAACACCAGUGGCGAAGGCGGCCAACUGGUCCGAUACUGACGCUGAGGCGCGAAAGCGUGGGGAGCAAACA